UAGGGAAUCUUCGGCAAUGGACGAAAGUCUGACCGAGCAACGCCGCGUGAGUGAAGAAGGUUUUCGGAUCGUAAAACUCUGUUGUUAGAGAAGAACAAGGACGUUAGUAACUGAACGUCCCCUGACGGUAUCUAACCAGAAAGCCACGGCUAACUACGUGCCAGCAGCCGCGGUAAUACGUAGGUGGCAAGCGUUGUCCGGAUUUAUUGGGCGUAAAGCGAGCGCAGGCGGUUUCUUAAGUCUGAUGUGAAAGCCCCCGGCUCAACCGGGGAGGGUCAUUGGAAACUGGUAGACUUGGGUGCAGAAGAGGAGAGUGGAAUUCCAUGUGUAGCGGUGAAAUGCGUAUAUAUAUGGAGGAACACCAGUGGCGAAGGCGGCUCUCUGGUCUGUAACUGACGCUGAGGCUCGAAAGCGUGGGGAGCAAACAGG
Molecule: ribosomal RNA, 429 nt
Filed under: Gemmatimonadota bacterium
Lineage: Bacteria; Pseudomonadati; Gemmatimonadota
Description: Gemmatimonadetes bacterium partial 16S ribosomal RNA
Rfam family: Bacterial small subunit ribosomal RNA
Source: RNAcentral